GGACUACCGGGGUUUCUAAUCCUGUUUGCUACCCACGCUUUCGUGUCUCAGCGUCAGUUACGGUCCAGAAAGCCGUCUACACCACCGGUGUUCCUCCUGAUAUCUACGCAUUUCACCGCUACACCAGGAAUUCCACUUUCCUCUCCCGUACUCCAAGUCAUUCAGUAUUCGGCGCUCCCUCCCAGUUGAGCCGGGAGAUUUCACACCAAACUUAAAUCACCGCCUACACACCCUUUACGCCCAGUAACUCCGAACAACGCUCGCUGCCUACGUAUUACCGCGGCUGCUGGCAC
This 293-nucleotide ribosomal RNA is filed under the name uncultured Acidobacteriota bacterium. RNAcentral's name for it is "uncultured Acidobacteria bacterium partial 16S ribosomal RNA". The record is from RNAcentral. Lineage: Bacteria; Pseudomonadati; Acidobacteriota.